Molecule: ribosomal RNA, 500 nt
Filed under: uncultured bacterium
Lineage: Bacteria
Description: bacterial SSU rRNA
Rfam family: Bacterial small subunit ribosomal RNA
Source: RNAcentral
GACGAACGCUGGCGGCGUGCCUAAUACAUGCAAGUCGAGCGGAUGAGAAAGGAGCUUGCUCCUUUCGAUUCAGCGGCGGACGGGUGAGUAACACGUGGGCAACCUGCCUGUAAGACUGGGAUAACUCCGGGAAACCGGGGCUAAUACCGGAUAACUCAUGAGACUGCAUAGUCUGAUGAUAAAAGAUGGUUUUGCUAUCACUUACAGAUGGGCCCGCGGCGCAUUAGCUAGUUGGUGAGGUAACGGCUCACCAAGGCGACGAUGCGUAGCCGACCUGAGAGGGUGAUCGGCCACACUGGGACUGAGACACGGCCCAGACUCCUACGGGAGGCAGCAGUAGGGAAUCUUCCGCAAUGGACGAAAGUCUGACGGAGCACGCCGCGUGAGCGAUGAAAGCCUUCGGGUCGUAAAAGCUCUGUUUGUAAGGGAGAACAAGUAUGAGUUAACUGCUCCUAACCGUGACGGGUACUAACGAGAAAGCCACGGCUUACUUACGUGGC